This is a long non-coding RNA of Zonotrichia albicollis (white-throated sparrow), 738 nucleotides long. RefSeq lists it as uncharacterized. Lineage: Eukaryota; Metazoa; Chordata; Aves; Passeriformes; Passerellidae. The record is from RefSeq and is a predicted model, not a curated record.
CCUGAGUCCAUUUCUUCUCAUCCUGUCACUUGCUGCCUGAGAGAAGAGACCAACCCUCACCUGGCUACAACUUCCUUUCAGGGAACAUGCAACUUUCUCCUGGUAAAUGAACUUGGACACACUUCAGCCCCCAGUUAAUACAGCAGGAACUGCAUGUACAAGCAGGUCCAAGUAAGUCCGGGGUGGAUCUAGCUUCACUGUCUCUGAUUAUAUCUGUGGGCAAAAGAAGAGAGAGGAAGAAAGAGAAAAAACAUUGUCAGACUGACAAGGUUAGACCAAAACUAAGCAAGGAGGAAAACAGCUCUUCUACUCCAGGAUGUGAAUAGCAGAAAGUGCUUCUCAUUAUUUCAUCCAUAGCUGUCUUCUUAAAAGCACACUAAGGUUUUGCAUCACCUUGGUAACUGUAGAUCUUGGAGCAGAUGUUUUAAAUACGAUAAAGACAAUGGCAGUAUGUCCUCUUGCUAUGAAACUCCCAGCAAGUGGACGUGGUCCAGAAUUCCAUUCCAGAAGAUGAUUUCACAACAGUGAAUUAAAUCAGGAUUUCUACUCACAGGUUUUUCAACAGAUUUCAAUGUUAGGUAUUUGUUGGAGCCUGGUACCUAUUUUGAUAUUUUCCCUGAAAACUCAGAGCUAUCAUAUUACUCAAAGGAUGGAAAACGCAAUAGUCAGACAAAACCAGUUAGUAUCAAAAGAAAUACAAAACUGUGUAUUUUUUCAUCACUUUGUAUAUUUUGUAUA